This 943-nucleotide ribosomal RNA is filed under the name Bacillus sp. (in: firmicutes). Its description in RNAcentral is "bacterial SSU rRNA". It matches the Rfam family "Bacterial small subunit ribosomal RNA", at positions 51 to 967 of the family's 1533-position model. The record is from RNAcentral. Lineage: Bacteria; Bacillati; Bacillota; Bacilli; Caryophanales; Bacillaceae.
ANACNUGCAGUCGAGCGAAUGGAUUAAGAGCUUGCUCUUAUGAAGUUAGCGGCGGACGGGUGAGUAACACGUGGGUAACCUACCCAUAAGACUGGGAUAACUCCGGGAAACCGGGGCUAAUACCGGAUAAUAUUUUGAACUGCAUAGUUCGAAAUUGAAAGGCGGCUUCGGCUGUCACUUAUGGAUGGACCCGCGUCGCAUUAGCUAGUUGGUGAGGUAACGGCUCACCAAGGCGACGAUGCGUAGCCGACCUGAGAGGGUGAUCGGCCACACUGGGACUGAGACACGGCCCAGACUNNUACGGGAGGCAGCAGUAGGGAAUCUUCCGCAAUGGACGAAAGUCUGACGGAGCAACGCCGCGUGAGUGAUGAAGGCUUUCGGGUCGUAAAACUCUGUUGUUAGGGAAGAACAAGUGCUAGUUGAAUAAGCUGGCACCUUGACGGUACCUAACCAGAAAGCCACGGCUAACUACGUGCCAGCAGCCGCGGUAAUACGUAGGUGGCAAGCGUUAUCCGGAAUUAUUGGGCGUAAAGCGCGCGCAGGUGGUUUCUUAAGUCUGAUGUGAAAGCCCACGGCUCAACCGUGGAGGGUCAUUGGAAACUGGGAGACUUGAGUGCAGAAGAGGAAAGUGGAAUUCCAUGUGUAGCGGUGAAAUGCGUAGAGAUAUGGAGGAACACCAGUGGCGAAGGCGACUUUCUGGUCUGUAACUGACACUGAGGCGCGAAAGCGUGGGGAGCAAACAGGAUUAGAUACCCUGGUAGUCCACGCCGUAAACGAUGAGUGCUAAGUGUUAGAGGGUUUCCGCCCUUUAGUGCUGAAGUUAACGCAUUAAGCACUCCGCCUGGGGAAGUACGGCCGCAAGGCUGAAAACUCAAAGGAAUUGACGGGGGGCCCGCACAAAGCGGUGGANCCAUGUGGUUUUAAUUCGAAAGCAACGCGANAA